AAAUUGAAGAGUUUGAUCAUGGCUCAGAUUGAACGCUGGCGGCAGGCCUAACACAUGCAAGUCGAACGGUAACAGGAAGAAGCUUGCUUCUUUGCUGACGAGUGGCGGACGGGUGAGUAAUGUCUGGGAAACUGCCUGAUGGAGGGGGAUAACUACUGGAAACGGUAGCUAAUACCGCAUAACGUCGCAAGACCAAAGAGGGGGAGCUUCGGGCCUCUUGCCAUCGGAUGUGCCCAG
Molecule: ribosomal RNA, 237 nt
Filed under: Escherichia coli
Lineage: Bacteria; Pseudomonadati; Pseudomonadota; Gammaproteobacteria; Enterobacterales; Enterobacteriaceae
Description: partial 16S ribosomal RNA
Rfam family: Bacterial small subunit ribosomal RNA
Source: RNAcentral